AACUACGUAGAGACUAUUCUUAUAGAACACUGUAGAAAAAACACCUUGAGUACCUUGGACAGUGGACCUUGAUUUGUUAAAAAAAAAAAAAACCAACUUUUAUAACUUUGACAAUUGAAUAUUUCUCUCUCUUUUUCUUCGUGUAUUUUUACAUGAAUUGACUUAUUUACAUUGGAGAAUGAAGAUGUUGCGGGCUACAUACUAUGCUUUCCGUUCAUUAACUCACAAUCAACUCUUUUCAUUAUGCAUUGGAGUUGGAAUUUCAUCUUUUGGAACAAUCCAAUUAUUAAACAGUCCACCAAAACGAAAUACAUAAAACUAAUGUAUUUCGAAAAAAAUAUUUAAAUGGCGAAACAUCAACAAAAAUAAAAAACCAGAAAAUAAUAAUUAAAAAUAUUUUAAUUUUAUUUAUAUGUACGUCUUAAUAUUUUGGAUAUAUAAAUUUUCAAUGUUUAAAUAAUGCUUGCAUGUAUAUUUAAAACUUAAUUCUCCAUGUAUGUCAUUAUGUACACUUGUAGUUUUCCACCAUUUUAAAAUGAUCUUUCGUGAUAUAAUUUUCUUUUUUGUUGUUGGAUGUAAUCCAUUAAAGAAAAUAUGUUUUUAAAUUUAUUUUUUAUAUUUUAUUUAUUAUUUUGAAUGGAUUACUACUACUAUUAUUACGACUGUAUAUUGUAUGAAACAGACAGAAUGUACGACGGCGAAUUUGAAACUAUCAUCUGAAAACAUGAUUAUAUCGAUAAAAAAAAAUUAUUUAAUAAUAUAUUAUGUUUUCUUUUUGUUCGUUUAAAAAUAAGAAAAAAAAAUGUAUAUAAAUAAUUAUGUGGAAAAUAAAAGGAUAAACUCGAAAACACUUUUUGUAUGAAAAUUUAAAUUGUGUAAACAAUAUUUUU
Chrysoperla carnea is the source of this 890-nucleotide long non-coding RNA. RefSeq lists it as uncharacterized. The transcript has 3 exons. Lineage: Eukaryota; Metazoa; Arthropoda; Insecta; Neuroptera; Chrysopidae. The record is from RefSeq and is a predicted model, not a curated record.